UGGCUCAGAUUGAACGCUGGCGGCAGGCCUAACACAUGCAAGUCGAGCGGUAGCACAGGAGAGCUUGCUCUCUGGGUGACGAGCGGCGGACGGGUGAGUAAUGUCUGGGAAACUGCCCGAUGGAGGGGGAUAACUACUGGAAACGGUAGCUAAUACCGCAUAACGUCUUCGGACCAAAGAGGGGGACCUUCGGGCCUCUUGCCAUCGGAUGUGCCCAGAUGGGAUUAGCUAGUAGGUGGGGUAAUGGCUCACCUAGGCGACGAUCCCUAGCUGGUCUGAGAGGAUGACCAGCCACACUGGAACUGAGACACGGUCCAGACUCCUACGGGAGGCAGCAGUGGGGAAUAUUGCACAAUGGGCGCAAGCCUGAUGCAGCCAUGCCGCGUGUAUGAAGAAGGCCUUCGGGUUGUAAAGUACUUUCAGCGAGGAGGAAGGCGUUGCGGUUAAUAACCGCAGCGAUUGACGUUACUCGCAGAAGAAGCACCGGCUAACUCCGUGCCAGCAGCCGCGGUAAUACGGAGGGUGCAAGCGUUAAUCGGAAUUACUGGGCGUAAAGCGCACGCAGGCGGUCUGUCAAGUCGGAUGUGAAAUCCCCGGGCUCAACCUGGGAACUGCAUUCGAAACUGGCAGGCUAGAGUCUUGUAGAGGGGGGUAGAAUUCCAGGUGUAGCGGUGAAAUGCGUAGAGAUCUGGAGGAAUACCGGUGGCGAAGGCGGCCCCCUGGACAAAGACUGACG
This 736-nucleotide ribosomal RNA is filed under the name Buttiauxella sp. 110518_136_C_B5. Its description in RNAcentral is "bacterial SSU rRNA". It matches the Rfam family "Bacterial small subunit ribosomal RNA", at positions 20 to 745 of the family's 1533-position model. Lineage: Bacteria; Pseudomonadati; Pseudomonadota; Gammaproteobacteria; Enterobacterales; Enterobacteriaceae. The record is from RNAcentral.